This is a long non-coding RNA of Astyanax mexicanus (Mexican tetra), 952 nucleotides long. RefSeq lists it as uncharacterized. The record is from RefSeq and is a predicted model, not a curated record. The transcript is spliced from 5 exons. NCBI's taxonomy places the organism in Eukaryota, Metazoa, Chordata, Actinopteri, Characiformes, Acestrorhamphidae.
AAGCAGUGUGUAAGACUGCCCUGAUAGCAGACUACUCCGAUCCGGAUCCGUUUUACCUCCGGCAGAUCCGCGCUACAGUCAGGUCUGUUUAGUGGAUCUGGUACGGCUUCACUCCGGGUUCGGGUUAUGAUUGUGACUCACGUUCAGAUCCGUUUUACUGACGGUAAAUCCGCAUAACAGUCCGUCUCAUUUCACGCCUUCCAUAUGACUUCGGCACGGAGUCAGAUACCAGAUGUGAGUUCAGUGUCAGUUCAGUGUCGUUUUGCGGAUCCGGGCCGCAUCGGCGGAGCGGCACAGGAGCGGGAGAAAUUCAAACUCAGCACGAGGACCAACUGACAUCUGCUGAAUCUGCGCUUCAGGUGUAAUCAUUUACCCAUCAAAUCACCUAACAAGGAUCAGCCUGGAUCCUAACAGUACUUGAUGCACUGAGCAGUGACAUUAUACAUAGAGUAGUUAAGCAGGAUUUGGUAUCCGCAAAAUGGUUCGAGGUCCUCAGCCCUCGCCUCCCCCAGCACAGAGGAAAACUACCAAGGGCGGUACUCUCAUUAUAGGAGAUUCAAUUGUUAGACAUUUAAAAGUAUCUAAGAGUAAUGGCACAAUUUCAUGUCUUCCAGAUGCUUGCAUGCUGGUAGUCGGCAAGCGGCUCCCUGGGGCGCAUUGCCAAAGCAGGAACCCCGGCACCAUCGCCCUCCACGUGGGGAUGAGCUUUUGGGAGCGACCGGCCCCGUUCCACAGAGACAGGCUUCUCUCUGUGAACAUCGAGGCGGUGCUACGCUGAGACUGACUGUCUCUACCCAGUCACACCAGCCAAGUAGGCUGCACUGUAGUGGUGUUAAGUGUCCAAGAAUGCUCUCAUCAGUGGAGGCACAGCUGGCUGCAAAAAACGUCUGUGUCUGCAUGUUUAUAUUAUGUGAAUUAAAAAUGGUUUUAUUAUUAAAAUAAUUGUAUUAAU